ACUCAAAGGAAUUGACGGGGACCCGCACAAGCGGUGGAGCAUGUGGUUUAAUUCGAAGCAACGCGAAGAACCUUACCAAAUCUUGACAUCCUCUGAUCCCUCUAGAGAUAGAGUUUUCCCCGUCGGGGGACAGAGUGACAGGUGGUGCAUGGUUGUCGUCAGCUCGUGUCGUGAGAUGUUGGGUUAAGUCCCGCAACGAGCGCAACCCUUAAGCUUAG
This 218-nucleotide ribosomal RNA is filed under the name Staphylococcus capitis. RNAcentral's name for it is "partial 16S ribosomal RNA". It matches the Rfam family "Bacterial small subunit ribosomal RNA", at positions 899 to 1114 of the family's 1533-position model. Lineage: Bacteria; Bacillati; Bacillota; Bacilli; Caryophanales; Staphylococcaceae. The record is from RNAcentral.